This 508-nucleotide ribosomal RNA is filed under the name uncultured bacterium. Its description in RNAcentral is "partial 16S ribosomal RNA". It matches the Rfam family "Bacterial small subunit ribosomal RNA", at positions 28 to 523 of the family's 1533-position model. The record is from RNAcentral.
GAUGAACGCUAGCUACAGGCUUAACACAUGCAAGUCGAGGGGAAACGAUAGAGAAAGCUUGCUUUUUCUAGGCGUCGACCGGCGCACGGGUGAGUAACGCGUAUCCAACCUGCCCAUCACUUGGGGAUAACCUUGCGAAAGUAAGACUAAUACCCAAUGACGUCCAUAGAAGACAUCUGAAAUGGAUUAAAGAUUUAUCGGUGAUGGAUGGGGAUGCGUCUGAUUAGCUUGUUGGCGGGGUAACGGCCCACCAAGGCGACGAUCAGUAGGGGUACUGAGAGGAAGGUCCCCCACAUUGGAGCUGAGACACGGUCCAAACUCCUACGGGAGGCAGCAGUGAGGAAUAUUGGUAAAUGGACGAGAGUCUGAGCCAGCCAAGUAGCGUGCAGGAUGACGGCCCUAUGGGUUGUAAACUGCUUUUAUAAGGGAAUAAAGUGGGAGUCGUGACUCCUUUUGCAUGUACCUUAUGAAUAAGGACCGGCUAAUUCCGUGCCAGCCGCCGCGGUAA